RNAcentral lists this long non-coding RNA (2881 nucleotides) under Panax ginseng (ginseng). RNAcentral's name for it is "long non-coding RNA (PGIN_LNC016220)". The record is from RNAcentral. Lineage: Eukaryota; Viridiplantae; Streptophyta; Magnoliopsida; Apiales; Araliaceae.
AAUGAAAUAGAUUUUGAUUGUAUCGUUGCGAAAUCCAUUAUUGACAAACCUGUUAUAUAACAAAUGUCAAUUAUUUUACAAACAAAAUAAAUCGUGGCUCAAUCACCCCAUAACAACCAUGUAUGCACAGACUUACAAUAACGAUAAUAGUACCAUAAUAAUUGCCAAAAGUCCUUUAAAGCAAAACUAAGGGCAAAGGAGAGGAGAUGAAGAAUAAGAUAAAUAAAAGAUAAAUUGUUAGUAGCCCAUCAACGUUACAGGGGCCUUUGGGGUUCAUUAGGGCCUGCAUGGAUUGCAACAUGCCAAGAAGGAAAAUUCCAAUAACACUCAGUAUUCUUGAACUAAUUUUUGGCUCCAUGUUGCUGAGAUUCAAUAAUUUUUUUGACCGAGUAUUCUUGUUCAUACCCAAGAUAACAAUCUGAAACUAGAAUCAGUUUCAUCCCCUGUAAAAUAAAACAAUUUUCAAAUAAAGAUGGGAAAAUAAAAUAAUUAAGUAAGUUAAGAGGAAACACUACUAAACGUGCUUGAUCCGAAUCUUUUUUCCUAUUAAAUCUACUCAAGAGUCCAUUAGUCAUGUCCCCGUCCAAGAACAACCUAGUGAAACUAUUUCUUCACAGAAAGAGAUCUAUUUGAUAGCACUGAAAAUAAGGCGACUAUAAAAUAAUUUCAAAAAUAAACCCGACUUUUAUGCAUUUUUAAUUGAAAUUUAUAUUUAAUGAAUUUUAUUAUUAUAUUUUAAAAUUUUAAUUAUAAAAGUAUACGUCUGCCCCUAAAAUUUUAAUACUGUUUGAAAUCAUAAAUCAUAUAUGAUGUAUUAAUUGGUAAAUGAUGGAGUAGUACAAAAAGAAAAACUUAAAUAUUACAAAAUCGACCAGUGGCCAAUAUCAUACCUUCUUAGCUAGCAUUUGACAAGUGGCCUCUGCAACAGUUUGAGAAGGAGUUGAGUUUCUAGCCUUUGUUGCUCAUUUUUGUUAUCUAUCCUACAAUGAAUAUUCAUGGGAAGAACGUUAAUAACAAUAGAGUUAUGUAUACUUCACUUGUACAUCUUGUGCACCAGUUGAUGUGGCUUCUUACAUCCUUGUGAGUUACAAAGUAAUCAUACUUUUCGAUUAAUUUUAAAAAUAUACUUGAGACAUCAAAAAGUGCUCAUUAUGGUGGCACAGUUGGGUGUAUUUAGCACAAUAUAAGAACACCACCACCACAAUAAUGACACGUGCAUCAUUCGGUGGAUAUAAAGGACAUCAAAAGGAAAAUGAAGAGCAAGAAGUUGAGCAACAUAAUCUUAUACAAGUGUUCGAUGAACCAAUUAAUUAGUUCACUUGAUCACUAGCUGAAAUGGAAAAACAAUUACCAAGUAAAAAGUUUGUGUGAGUAUCAUAUAUUAAAAAGGAUAAGCCAGUUUUUACAUGUCGCAAUUUUGAUCAGUUAGGUACACACAACUGCAUGUCAUAAUAUAAGUUGCAAUUUGUAAUAGCCCUAAGCACCCCCAAAUUUAGUUUGCUGCUUCUGAUCUGUAAACACUAAAUUGUUCAUAAUAACAAAUAGCAAGGCUUACGUGUUUUCAUAAAACCAAAAAACUAAGAUCAUUUCCACCAAAUAAAGUCUCAUAGAAAAAGCAUGUAUUAAAACUUACAAAGGAAGAACAUGGUUAUAAUAGUUCACACCAGACUAUGUGAUUUCAAAACAUAGCCAAAUGCUUACGCAACAAUGAAAUUGAAGAGCACUAAACUCAUAAUCAAAAUGAAUCAUGAAAUUAUACAUCAAUGUGCAACUUAUAUGGUCAGGAAAAUUGCCCUUCUUAAUUUUGUCGCAACUGAAGCAAGCUUUUGAGGAUAAAGUCAUUCACAUGAUGAAACUAAGGAAGAGGAUAAAGUCAUUCACAUGCUGGAAUCAAGCCAAGCCCAAGGGGAAAUGACAAGGAAGAAAUCAAGCUAUAACAAAAAUCGAGCUUGUCAAUCCGCAGGCAGUGGAGGAAGGGAAGGUUGCGAAAAAGCAGACGAACUUGUUAAAGAAAUCAAAACAGAAUUCUAAGCAAAUUCCAAAGACGAAAAAAACAGUUCUUAUGUCAUUCUCUCUGGCUACUGAGAAAAUAAUGAAUGUGAACAUGAUGCAUUCAUCAUUUUUAAAAAAAUGAGCUUUCUUCAAAUCAAAUUAGUAUACAGCAGAAAAAUGAUAUGGAAACUAUUCAUAACAUCAAAUAUUAUUAGUUAUGCAUUCUAUGGUACUAAACUUCUGCUUACAAGCCCUGCCUUCAAGAGUGAUGCUCCCUCCAGUCUACAAAAGAGUCUCAAUUGCUAAUUUUGUUGUUUUGAAAGAGUCUCAUUUAUAUUAAUGAUAGCAUAACAUGGUAUAAUAUCCUCAAAUUUACCAUAAUUCCAUUACCAUGCCAUCACUACUAAACUAACACUUGAUAAAUUUAAGAGUAAACAUGGAACAAAGGUAUACCCUUAAAAAUUUGUAAAUUUUACAAAUGAUACUCUUUUCUGAAAUAAAGGUAGGAUAUUAUUACCUGAAAAAUGAUGAGUCCAAUGAGGACUGGAUGGGUAUCAAACCCAAAGCUUUGAAACAGAUCUUUCGAGUUUCCUCACCAGUGUAUAUCCUCCAGACUGCGAGAAUGAGAGAAUUUGCAACAAUUCCAAUAAAGAACAUCAGAUCUUAGAAUGGCCUCAAAGUUUAUUUUACAAAUAUAACCACUCGUUAAAUGAUCAACUACUUUGAAAGAGAUAAUCAAAACCACAAGUUAAAUGUGAAAUCAAAUUUAAUAAAUUAACUGCUUUGAACAACCUUUUUAUAUAUAUACAAAGCUGCUCAAAAUUACUUGGAGAAUAAGAAUCGAUACAAAGAUAUCUAUUCCUCUUGUCACUUGCAAGUAUGUCAAUUU